RNAcentral lists this ribosomal RNA (253 nucleotides) under uncultured bacterium. RNAcentral describes it as "partial 16S ribosomal RNA". It matches the Rfam family "Bacterial small subunit ribosomal RNA", at positions 524 to 776 of the family's 1533-position model. The record is from RNAcentral.
UACAGAGGGGGCAAGCGUUAUUCGGAAUUAUUGGGCGUAAAGGGCGCGUAGGCGGCUUUGCAAGUGACGGGUGAAAUCCCUCGGCUUAACCGAGGAACUGCCUGUCAAACUGCAUGGCUUGAGACCGGGAGAGGUGAGUGGAAUUCCCAGUGUAGCGGUGAAAUGCGUAGAUAUUGGGAGGAACACCAGUGGCGAAGGCGGCUCACUGGACCGGUACUGACGCUGAGGCGCGAAAGCGUGGGGAGCAAACAGG